GGGCUCAUAGCUCAGUUGGUUAGAGCACCUGACUCAUAAUCAGGGGGUCGGAGGAUCAUGCCCUUCUGGGCCCA
RNAcentral lists this transfer RNA (74 nucleotides) under Bacteroidales bacterium. RNAcentral's name for it is "tRNA-Ile". It matches the Rfam family "tRNA". Rfam says of the family: Transfer RNA (tRNA) molecules are approximately 80 nucleotides in length. The record is from RNAcentral. Lineage: Bacteria; Pseudomonadati; Bacteroidota; Bacteroidia; Bacteroidales. RNAcentral also lists the same sequence under 2 other names.